UGUUUUGAUUAUAUUGCAAUUGAGAAAAAAGAAAAGAAAAUGGGAUGAUAAUUAUAGUAGGCAAAAAUUAAGGGAUGUUAGUGUCGAUAGGAUUAUGUAUUUUAGUGAUCUAGCAUGUAUAGAAAACACAAGAAUGGAUAGGCGUGCCUUUCAUGCAUUGUGUAACAUGCUUAGAGGGGUUGGAAGGAUAGAACCAAGUAGGAAUAUGAGUGUAGAAGAAAUGGUUGCCAUGUUUUUACAUAUUAUAGCACAAGGCGUCAAAAUUAGAGUAAUAAAGAGACAUUUUUGAGAUCUGAAGAAACAAUUAGUAGGAGGUUUAAUGAUGUAUUGCUUGCUAUUUUGAGAUGUCAUAAUCUCUCACUGAAGAAACCUCAACCAUUUAGCCAGGAUAGAAUGGAUGACCGAUGAAAAUGGUUCAAGAAUUGCCUAGAAGCCCUAAAUGGCACCCAUAUCAAAGUCAAUGUCCUUGAGGCUGGUAAGCCUAGAUAUCAACAGAAAAGGUGACAUAACAACCAAUGUACUUGGAGUGGUUGUUCCCAAUAUGCAAUUUAUCUAAUGCACUGGCGGGUUGGGAGGGUUCAGCGGUGGAUUCUAAGGUCAUUACUACUUAUGUGAUGUUGGAUACAUGAAUUGUGAAGGGUUUUUGGCAUCUUAUAGAGGACAAAAAUAUCAUUGAGUGAGUUUAAUCCACAGAAUCAAUCUAAUACACCCCGAGAGCUUUUUAAUAUGAAACACUCACAAGUUAGGAAUGUCAUUGAAAGGGCAUUUGGAGUAUUGAAAGCAAGAUGGAAAAUUUUAAGGGGAAGGCCAUUUAUCCUAUUUAAGAGUCAAGGAAGAGUUAUAACUAUUUGUUGCCUUUUGCAUAAUCACAUUAGAAGAGUGAUGAUUGUGGAUCUUAUUGAUGAGAUAGAAAACCAAAAUAUGCUUGGAUUAGAUGGUGGGACGAUCCACCAUAUUGAGACGAGCGAUGCUUGGGGUAGAUGGAGGGAUCAACUUGCACAAGAAAUGUGGAACCAAUGGAGGAGAAGACAUCAUGCUCGAUAAUUGUGUUUGUUUUUCUAUGUGUGAGGCCCAAGCAAACACUUUUUGGAGCAUCUCUCUCUAUAUUCCCGUAGUGCAUUAGUCUGAUCAAGUAGAACUGAGUUCUCCUCUAGUAGAACUGCCAGAAAGUUUGUAAACAGCAGCUGUCUAUUGCAACAUUGAUUUCAUUUUAUUGAUGCGUUUCUGUUCUUGUACAAGAGUUGUGUAUGUUUGCGUCUUUGUAGCUUUGAUUUGGAUAAUAGUGAAGCUUUUACCUUCUGGUGGGUUUUUUUAUCUCUCUUAUAUUGAGAGGUUUUUUCCCACAUUAAAGUUUGGUGUUUUGUUUUUCUGCCUCCUCUUUAACAUUUUGCUGCUAUUAACUAUUUAUAUAGUGUGCCUAUAAUAGCC
Molecule: long non-coding RNA, 1428 nt
Organism: Arachis duranensis
Lineage: Eukaryota; Viridiplantae; Streptophyta; Magnoliopsida; Fabales; Fabaceae
Exons: 3
Source: RefSeq, a predicted model, not a curated record